GGUUGAGUAGAAUUUUGCCUUAACCUGCCAAGUUUGAGGUCAGGGGCUCAGGGAAUGUUGCUCAGAGCUUGCAGAAGGGCCUGGACCUGUGGCAGAAGCCAUUUGCCUGCCGAGCUUCUGGAAAAGAGGCCUGGGUGUCUACUCAAAAGAGAUGAAAACAUAUGCCUUCACAAAGAUAUGUGCUCAAAUGGUGAUUGUAGCAUUAUUUAUAAUAAUCAAAAUGUUACAGGACUUCCUUCUCCUUAAGGUGCCUGCAGUUCUUGGUUAUACCACUUUGAAGAAUGAAGAAGUAGACCAGACUAAGAGUGGAUCUAAACCCUUCUGAGCACUCAGAUACUGGACCAGCUGGAGCCAGGGAAUUGAUGAUGGCCAUUGCACAAGAGCCUUCAUGAAUACGUAGCUUAAAACCACCCCAGUUCCACUGUUGUUUGGGAAGACACUCUUUGGGAAAGAUCCCAGGUGUUCUUUUGUACUUGCUGCAAAUAAAACCCUUCCUUUUCCUAUU
Long non-coding RNA from Canis lupus familiaris (dog), 505 nucleotides. RefSeq lists it as uncharacterized. The record is from RefSeq and is a predicted model, not a curated record. The transcript is spliced from 2 exons. NCBI's taxonomy places the organism in Eukaryota, Metazoa, Chordata, Mammalia, Carnivora, Canidae.